Balaenoptera ricei (Rice's whale) is the source of this 1116-nucleotide long non-coding RNA. RefSeq lists it as uncharacterized. The transcript is spliced from 4 exons. NCBI's taxonomy places the organism in Eukaryota, Metazoa, Chordata, Mammalia, Artiodactyla, Balaenopteridae. The record is from RefSeq and is a predicted model, not a curated record.
GUGGAGGGGGAGGCGAGGGAAGGGCUUUGUGUCUGCCUCCCGCCCUCCCUCGGAUCCAGCUCUAGCCAUCCCCCUCCCCCAACCGCUCGGGAGGGAUGGGGCGGGGGAAUCCGAGGGGGCGAGGAAGGCGCCUGCGCGACCGGGGCCCCCAGCGCCCCCGGUACCGCCCACCCUCCGCUGCGGGGACGCGCAGCCUCUGCGCUCACCCGGGGACCAGGGACCCAGGCUGCAGGGAGGAGAGAGCUGGACCAGAAAGUUGAUCUAACCCGGAGCGAACUUGGCUGGCCCGGCUCCCGCCCCGCCUCGGCGCCGCCGCCCGGCUCUUCUCACUCCCCGGGGAGGACCGGACUUUUGUUCUCGAGACUCGGCCCAGUCUCCUUUCUGUCCGCCCAUCACAGAGCAGCACACACGCUUGCACCCCCUUCCCGUGACGAGCCCCGCCGCCCCCCAGCGGACCCAGAUCCGCCGCGCGGGCUGGGAGCCCCAGCUGGGGAGGCCCGCGUGGGCGCGGCCCUUUGUCCCCGGUUUGGCCGCGCCGUGUCCCCGCCGCGAGGUGUUUUGCUCGUCCUAGCUGGGUAGGGGGCCGCCUGGGUUGGUUUCUGUGUGUUCAGGGCCACCCAGCCCCGGCCCCGCGGGAGCGAGAGCGGCGGGGAGGAGGGAUGUGGUUUGGCUCCGCGCUGGGAGACCUUUAUCACCCCUGGGAAGGCGACGCGGACAGGCGGGGAGCUGCUGGCCGGUUGCCGGCCAGGAACCAGCAGUCGUCUUUCUUCCGAGUCGGGCGGGUCCCUGGUAGAACCUUCAGGAAUUCCUGAAGGUUGGAUACGUUGGCAGAAGGGAGAAGUAGACAGAAACAGACCUGGUCCCACACCUCUCCUCCUUCUCUCCCUUCUUCCACGGGAUUGAUUGUGUUUUGUAGACAAAGUGCCCCAGGUAAAUGCUGAACAGAGUAAACCAAGCAGCACUGGUCUGGAAGCAUUGCCCAGAGCUGGCAACUCAGCAAUUUGUUUCUCUCCUCUGUCGAGCAGGGCAAGUAGAGUCUCCUAAUGGAUAUCCUGCCUUCUCCCCUACCCACCUUCUUGAAUAAAAUGGACUUAGGGCAGAUGUGUUAACAUCUUC